CCAAGCGGCCUUAUCCGCACGCGCGACUCCCCUCCCGAGCUCCUCUCCCCUCCUUGAGCGCUCCCGCCGCCCUGCGCCUCCGCCCCCACCAGCAACGCCGCCCUGUGCGGCCCUCCCCUCACCGGCUACGGCCGGCCUUCCCCCUCCUGCGGCACUGCCCCUGCGAGCCACCAAGGAUGCGCGGGGUCCCCAAGGCGGGUGCCCUUCACGCGCGCGUCUGCAGGGCCGGCCCCCUCCAGGGGCGGCGCGCAAGCUCUGGCCACCACCUGCCCUCCGGUGUCCACCUGCUUCAUCCCGAGCGCCAUCCCCUCUUGCUGCUCCUCCAUUCCGGUGUUCUCUCAUGCAUCCACUUGAGAUCCACGAGAAGGAUGCGAGGUGGCGCGCCACGGACGCCUUGAUGUGCUUGGCCUGGGAUGGCGACGGGAACGGGCAGCGGAAGUACCUGCAUGGCGUGGACGCCAAGGUCGCCGGUGAUGACACGAUGCUGCUCGGGCUCCCCGCCCAAGGGCUGCCCGCCGCCGUCGACCGGGCUAGCGUUUUCCCUGUCUUGCUCUCGCGCGGCAUACCCGCCCGCUCCGCCUCCCGCCCCCUCUCCCUACCUCCGCCGCGUCUUCCACCACGACCGUGAUGCUGGUCGCCGCCGCCCGCAUCAACGCCGUGCACCUUCCGCGGCGGAUGGGAGAAGAACAGAGGAAGGCGAAGGGGUCCACAGUUCCUCCCCUCUUUUAACCCGCCCCACGUGUCGCUUGCAAGCCGAUCCCACGAGUUAGGAGGCCACGUCAGCGUCCAGCAUGGCGAAACCACUAUGCAAAACCACUAGAGGGGGUUAAGUGCACGGGAUUUGAUACAACAGGGUGUUAAAUAUCUAGUUUUAUUGUUUGUGGUGGGGGGGGGGGGGGGGGGGUUAAGUGCUCCGACCCCAAUAGUUAGGAGGCGCAUCAUAAGCUAGGCCUUGAAAAAGGCUGCUGCUGUGUUGUAUUAUCUAGUGCAAAAUAGUCCGAUCCUAAAUUAGAUCUUGUUGGAACCGUUGAUGUACUGCAAUAAUCAUGUAUUGCACUGUUGGUAUGCUGAAACUAGACUAGGUUCUUCUUGUUUUUUAAGACAUGAAACACAGGCUGUAUGCUCUUGGAUUUGUUAACAUGAAGCACCCGUUGCUGUUGGUAAUAUUCAGUGCAUUUGUUGCUA
Panicum hallii is the source of this 1185-nucleotide long non-coding RNA. RefSeq lists it as uncharacterized. The record is from RefSeq and is a predicted model, not a curated record. NCBI's taxonomy places the organism in Eukaryota, Viridiplantae, Streptophyta, Magnoliopsida, Poales, Poaceae. The transcript is spliced from 2 exons.